Molecule: ribosomal RNA, 25 nt
Filed under: Teucrium fruticans
Lineage: Eukaryota; Viridiplantae; Streptophyta; Magnoliopsida; Lamiales; Lamiaceae
Also listed under: 16 other names
Description: partial 28S ribosomal RNA
Source: RNAcentral
AGGUCAGGCGGGACUACCCGCUGAG